RNAcentral lists this ribosomal RNA (252 nucleotides) under uncultured bacterium. RNAcentral describes it as "partial 16S ribosomal RNA". It matches the Rfam family "Bacterial small subunit ribosomal RNA", at positions 524 to 776 of the family's 1533-position model. The record is from RNAcentral.
UACGUAGGUCCCGAGCGUUGUCCGGAUUUAUUGGGCGUAAAGCGAGCGCAGGUGGUUUAUUAAGUCUGGUGUAAAAGGCAGUGGCUCAACCAUUGUAUGCAUUGGAAACUGGUAGACUUGAGUGCAGGAGAGGAGAGUGGAGUUCCAUGUGUAGCGGUGAAAUGCGUAGAUAUAUGGAGGAACACCGGUGGCGAAAGCGGCUCUCUGGCCUGUAACUGACACUGAGGCUCGAAAGCGUGGGGAGCAAACAGG